RNAcentral lists this transfer RNA (74 nucleotides) under Candidatus Kentrum sp. MB. Its description in RNAcentral is "Candidatus Kentron sp. MB tRNA_His_GTG". It matches the Rfam family "tRNA". From Rfam's summary of the family: Transfer RNA (tRNA) molecules are approximately 80 nucleotides in length. The record is from RNAcentral. Lineage: Bacteria; Pseudomonadati; Pseudomonadota; Gammaproteobacteria.
GUGGCAUUAGUUCAGUUGGUUAGAGCACCAGAUUGUGGAUCUGGGGGUCAGGGGUUCGAAUCCCCUAUGCCACC